RNAcentral lists this ribosomal RNA (764 nucleotides) under uncultured archaeon. Its description in RNAcentral is "bacterial SSU rRNA". It matches the Rfam family "Archaeal small subunit ribosomal RNA", at positions 1 to 763 of the family's 1478-position model. The record is from RNAcentral.
UUCGCCCUUUUCCGGUUGAUCCUGCCGGACCUGACUGCUAUCGGAUUGAUACUAAGCCAUGCGAGUCAUUGUAGCAAUACAAGGCAGACGGCUCAGUAACGCGUAGUCAACCUAACCUAUGGACGGGAAUAACCUCGGGAAACUGAGAAUAAUGCCCGAUAGAACACUAUACCUGGAAUGGUUUGUGUUCCAAAUGAUUUAUCGCCGUAGGAUGGGACUGCGGCCUAUCAGUUUGUUGGUGAAGUAAUGGCCCACCAAGACUAUUACAGGUACGGGCUCUGAGAGGAGUAGCCCGGAGAUGGGUACUGAGACACGGACCCAGGCCCUAUGGGGCGCAGCAGGCGAGAAAACUUUGCAAUGUGCGAAAGCACGACAAGGUUAAUCCGAGUGAUUUGUGCUAAACGAAUCUUUUGUUAGUCCUAGAACCACUAACGAAUAAGGGGUGGGCAAGCUCUGGUGUCAGCCGCCGCGGUAAAACCAGCACCUCAAGUGGUCAGGAUGAUUAUUGGGCCUAAAGCAUCCGUAGCCGGCUCUGUAAGUUUUCGGUUAAAUCUGUACGCUUAACGUACAGGCUGCCGGGAAUACUGCAGAGCUAGGGAGUGGGAGAGGUAGACGGUACUCGGUAGGAAGGGGUAAAAUCCUUUGAUCUAUUGAUGACCACCUGUGGCGAAGGCGGUCUACCAGAACACGUCCGACGGUGAGGGAUGAAAGCUGGGGGAGCAAACGGGAUUAGAUACCCGGGUAGUCCCAGCUGUAAACUAUGC